Molecule: ribosomal RNA, 372 nt
Filed under: uncultured bacterium
Lineage: Bacteria
Description: bacterial SSU rRNA
Rfam family: Bacterial small subunit ribosomal RNA
Source: RNAcentral
AUUGAACGCUGGCGGCAUGCCUUACACAUGCAAGUCGAACGGCAGCACGGGGGCAACCCUGGUGGCGAGUGGCGAACGGGUGAGUAAUACAUCGGAACGUGCCCGAUAGUGGGGGAUAGCUCGGCGAAAGCCGGAUUAAUACCGCAUACGACCUACGGGUGAAAGCGGGGAUCGCAAGACCUCGCGCUAUCAGAGCGGCCGAUGUCAGAUUAGGUUGUUGGUGGGGUAAAGGCCUACCAAGCCGACGAUCUGUAGCUGGUCUGAGAGGACGACCAGCCACACUGGGACUGAGACACGGCCAGACUCCUACGGGAGGCAGCAGUGGGGAAUUUUGGACAAUGGGCGAAAGCCUGAUCCAGCCAUGCCGCGUGC